UAAAAGGCGUUGAGGAAGACAAAAAUAUUCAUAUUUUCAUUUACAGAGAGUCGUAGGUGCUGAGAUACGAUGAUGAAAGAAUAUAUAAUAAAUCACUUCUAAGCUUAUCUUUGCUAAAGCGAAAGCAAGUAGUAAGAUACGGUGUUCACCGUUAUAUGAAUGAGAGUUGAUUGACUCAAAAUGAGGAGGCAGAUUUUUAAUUUUAUUUGCAAUUAGGGUGGUACCGCGGAAUUGUAUUUUCGUCCCUGUA
Molecule: non-coding RNA, 250 nt
Filed under: Peptoanaerobacter stomatis
Lineage: Bacteria; Bacillati; Bacillota; Clostridia; Peptostreptococcales; Filifactoraceae
Description: T-box sequence
Rfam family: T-box leader
About the family: Uncharged tRNA acts as the effector for transcription antitermination of genes in the T-box leader family.
Source: RNAcentral